UGAGCAUUAAUGGUCAAAAUGACUGCUAUGUCAUUGUGUGCUGCAGGAGAAAAGAAGGAAAAAAAGACAAUACCUGAACUGUUUGAACACUAUAACAUGUCAUUAAGCCACAAAUAGUGUAACUUUGGUUGUGAUUUUGCCCUAUAAGAGUGAAAGUGACUAAAGUGAUUAUAUUAAAGUGAAAUUUAUGCUGUGCUUUUGAUCUUGAUUUGUGAAAUCUUAUUUGCCUACUUUUUUAAAUAUUUAUUUCCAUACAGAUAGUGUGGCUUUGGUUAUGGUGUUCGUCCUGCCAGCACAGGGACCCACAACCCCUUGGAAGGUAAACAAAAUAAAUUACGGAAAGCUGUACAGCAUAUACUGUCUCUUCUGGAAGAGAUGAAAACUGAUGUGAAAGAUGUGAAAAAUAGGCUUGCGCAGAUGGAGUACCAAACCCAAGAAAAGGAGCUGACAUCUGCCACAAGGGUUACAGUUUCCCUUAAAAUCUUCAAAGGAUGUAGAACGUCUCGAGCUGGAUUUAAAGACAGAUCUAGGAAAACGAACACGAAUUGGAAUGCUAUUUGGCAAUGCGUGGGGGAUUCAGUUUAAAGCAUAUCGUCAGGGACAAACGGUCUCUGCUAUUUUCAAAUAAAUUAGCCCGGUCUUACAACUUCCAUGGUCUGAAGGGAAAGAAGGGACUCAAGAACCACCCCUUUCUUGUACAAACAGUUCAGGAUGCUGCAAGAAAAACUUGCCCUCAAGCUACUGAAGCAGAACUGCAGACGCAGAUCUCUAGCUGGUUAGCUGGUGCUAGGGAUUGAGAGAAUGGCAGAAGGGAAAGGGCACCUGAGCACAGACUGUUAAAGUCAGUAAAUAGUUCUGGGGUGGGGAAUGAAUUGGAGGACAAGUAAAGCUGUAC
Pomacea canaliculata is the source of this 895-nucleotide long non-coding RNA. RefSeq lists it as uncharacterized. The transcript has 4 exons. NCBI's taxonomy places the organism in Eukaryota, Metazoa, Mollusca, Gastropoda, Architaenioglossa, Ampullariidae. The record is from RefSeq and is a predicted model, not a curated record.